AACGAACGCUGGCGGCAGGCCUAACACAUGCAAGUCGAGCGAGCAUUUCGGUGCUAGCGGCGGACGGGUGAGUAACGCGUGGGAACGUGCCCUUUUCUGCGGAAUAGUCCUGGGAAACUGGGGGUAAUACCGCAUACGCCCUUUCGGGGAAAGAUUUAUCGGAGAAGGAUCGGCCCGCGUUGGAUUAGGUAGUUGGUGGGGUAAUGGCCCACCAAGCCGACGAUCCAUAGCUGGUUUGAGAGGAUGAUCAGCCACACUGGAACUGAGACACGGCCCAGACUCCUACGGGAGGCAGCAGUGGGGAAUCUUAGACAAUGGGGGCAACCCUGAUCUAGCCAUGCCGCGUGAGUGAUGAAGGCCUUAGGGUUGUAAAGCUCAUUCAGCUGGGAAGAUAAUGACGGUACCAGCAGAAGAAGCCCCGGCUAACUCCGUG
Molecule: ribosomal RNA, 433 nt
Filed under: uncultured bacterium
Lineage: Bacteria
Description: partial 16S ribosomal RNA
Rfam family: Bacterial small subunit ribosomal RNA
Source: RNAcentral